Molecule: long non-coding RNA, 3086 nt
Organism: Daphnia magna
Lineage: Eukaryota; Metazoa; Arthropoda; Branchiopoda; Diplostraca; Daphniidae
Exons: 7
Source: RefSeq, a predicted model, not a curated record
AAGGAGUAUGUGUGUAGUGUCUUCUUUUUCUUCGCAUCCGUGUAAGCAUUCUGGAUUAAUGUCCAUGUCCGAUUUGCUUAAAGUGUUAUUAAGUUUGCAGUGGCCACUUUUGAGCCUAAAAAGUGCUGUCUGGAUCUUUCUUCUUUUGUGGGUGUGCCAAGGGCACAUGCCCAUUCUCUGACGGUUGAUCACUCCAGUGUUGGUAGAGAUUGUUUAUAAUCUAGUUAAAACUUGCAUUUUUAGCAGUCUUUCAGCUACAUUUGGGCAGUGGCUCAACUGGUGACCUACGUUUGUGUGGCGUCCGGCGUUGGCUAGAUUAUAUGCUGUUGCAUUGCCUUGUAUACCUGAGUGGCUUGGUAUUGUGUUGCUAGCUGUCCAUUUGAAGUUCCUGAUUGCCUCUAUGGCUGCUUUGGAGUCGCAGUAGAUGGUGAUCAUGUUCCAGUCUUGGUGGUAUACGUGGGCCAGGGCUUGAUUGAUGGCUUCUAGUUCAACGUUGAAGCUGUUUGUUGAUUCAGACAGCAGGAAUGAUUCUUUUAUUUUCAAUUUAUGUAUGAAGAAUGCGCAUGUUGACUUCCUGCUUGUCAUGCAUGUGGAUCCAUCCGUGUAUAUGGACAAGUGGUCUGGUGGUUCAUCUUUGUUGAUUGCUCUGAAGGUUGCAGACGUAAGUUUUUGGAUUCUUGUUUUCGGGGCUGAUGAGAUGACUGCGGCUCCAUAGUCUAUUUUGCUGCGGAUGAUUGCUGUAUAAAUACGGAGGAGGAGGGUAGUUUGCAGCGGGUGUUUGCCAUAGGUGAAAGCUGCACAUUUGGUGGUUGAGAGUUCAAGUUUCCAGUGUUUGGUCCAGCUGUCUAUUAUGUCGAGGGACGUUUUGCAGCCGGCUACUGGUGGCGGAAAGUCAGCCAUCGUGAUAUUGAAGAGUAUUGGGCUUAAGACGCACCCUUGGGGGACGCCUCUAUUAAGAUAUCUUUCUUCGGACAUGUUGUUUUCCAUUUUGACAGUAAUACUUCUGUUGGUUAGGAAGUUUUGGAGCCAAUUAAGCCUUUUUCAGAUCCAGGAAUACUGCUGUGGUGGAUUUCUUUUCAUUGAAGCCGCUGAUGAUAUCGGAUUCGAGACGAACUAUGUUAUCGUUGGUAGUGCACCCACUUCUAAAGCCUGUUUGGAAUUUUGGAAGAGGCAUGAGGUCAGCGAAAUUGGCCUGUCCGAGUUGGUAUCUUCUGGAGGUUUAUUUGGCUUUAGGAUUGGGAUGACAAAACCAGUUUUUGGGUCCUGACUCACGGAACCACUGGUGCUUCUCCUUGAUCACGUCACUCAGUGGAUAGUUGUCCUGCCACCUGCUCAGUGCUGUCCUCGAGAAUGAAAAUUCUGCAUUGUCACAGAGUUUGUUGUCCCUACAGCGAUUUUACCACCCGUUCUUCUUACCGAUGCAGCCAGUCUCCAACGUCGUCAUGAUCUCCUCCUGCAAAGUCGGGUGAGGCUUGGAACUUAAUCUGCGCCGCAAAAGCUAUGGGUGGGUUAAGAAAUUGCGUUAACCUAAUUGGAUCCCGCCCUGGUUCCCGUGCUGCCUGAAGGCCUCGCGUUACCCGUUUACCUCGACUUGCCGACCUUUCACUAGAUGCUGGUCGAUUUCUCAGUUCCCUUAUCCUACUACUUACUGCCGACGAACUUCUUCUGAAUGCUCCGAAAUCCAACUCCAGCUGUGGUUUGUCGUCGUCUCCGUCUACUCCUUGUACGUCCUCCUUCCCUUCCAUGUCCGCUUCAAUGAUAGUCAGUUGAUAAACCAUUUGAGUUGAUCAUCUGGUCCUUACUUCCCCCGACCGCUCUUGGUCCGAUAGCCUCACUUGCUCUUCCGCUUCACAAUCCUGCGACAGAGGAAUCCUUGGCCAGAUACAGCACCUUUCUUCCCUCGACCGCUUUUGGUCCGAUAGUCCCAAAAAACUAUUUCAACCCCAUAUCGAAAAGAUAUUUAGUUUUGAUAUCCACCGAUUAUUCACAGGAUGUAUGCGCAUUCACGCAUCAAAAAAGACGAAUUUGUUAUUUACCUAUUUGAGAAAAGUAUCCUAUUUUGAUCCUCAUAGCUGUAUUUCACGCUUAAACAUAGAACGCAUCUUAAUUCAGCAUAAGAAUAAAAGGCAAUAAUGCUGAAAAAAUACUUUUCAAACCAAACCAUAGGUUUUCCGGCCAGAGGUUUUUUUAGAAAGAAAAAUCCUUGGGACUAUCAGGGAAAUAGAAGAAACGUUUGAACGAGUAAGGGAAACCAGAAGGAGUAUAAAUGACGGAGUAAAAAUUCCUUUCGGGCCAAGAGGACGCAAGCUGAUUUUUCUAAAGUUUGAUCAACCUUCGUGGAGCGCAGUACAGUAGUCGGGUAUAGGCAGUAGACAUAGUACAAUAAGUCCGCUCUAAGCAAGAUACCGAGAUACGGAGUCUGGAAGGGGAGUAAUUUGUGCGACGGUAUAAAACAAUGCUACUUAGGUCCAGUUCCUAAAGUUGAGGUACAAAGAAAGAUACGUGAAACGUUCACUGAAGGGUAAAUGCGUUUUUUAAGAAAAUAAACGUCGAAAAAAGAAAUUACAAAGAAAAAGGGGACGUAUAUGAAACGAACUUGUAGUGUGUAAGUGUAAUAAAAUAAGUCGUUUUUGGUUCUUCACACUAUUGCCAUAUUUGCUUCAAUAUUGCUGUUUUAAGCCAUCGGCAAUAAACAUCGAAGAUUCACAAGUAUAAAUUUUUUAUAUAAUCUAUUUCUCUUACACAAUCUCAGUGAGAUUGGUUAGUUCUCUUUUUUUUCAAUUUUGUUCCAUAAUCGUUGCUGCCUACAUUGCCGGGGCCGUAUUCUAGCCUUGGCUUAAGCACAGAAUGUUUUCUUGACUAUAUUUUUCUUUUUUUUUAAUUCUUGCCUGAAUUUACUGAAAACCGUAUUCAAGCCUUUUUUUGCUUAGAUUUUCUACUUAAGAAAUUUUUUAAACUUGUCUGUUUAUGUUUACGGUAGAAAAUUUUUGUACGUCAACUAAUAGUUGGCCUUCAGCAAUUUUUUUUAUUAUGUGCUUUGAAUCAUGCUAAACGCUACUGUUGUCCUAGUUUUCCUUAAAUAUAAC